Small nucleolar RNA from Tachyglossus aculeatus (Australian echidna), 138 nucleotides. The record is from RefSeq and is a predicted model, not a curated record. Lineage: Eukaryota; Metazoa; Chordata; Mammalia; Monotremata; Tachyglossidae.
CCCCUCUCAGGGUCGCACCUGGAGAGUUUCCAGAACUCUACCAGCCUUGACUAUGGGAGGGAGAGUCAAGGAGAGGCAUAUCGAUUCCAUUCCUAGCAUGCUCAGUGGCUAGCGAGUGGAAGGCAAUCUGCUGCAAGU